This 72-nucleotide transfer RNA is filed under the name Ministeria vibrans. RNAcentral's name for it is "tRNA-Arg". It matches the Rfam family "tRNA". Rfam says of the family: Transfer RNA (tRNA) molecules are approximately 80 nucleotides in length. Their secondary structure includes four short double-helical elements and three loops (D, anti-codon, and T loops). The record is from RNAcentral. Lineage: Eukaryota; Filasterea; Ministeriida; Ministeriidae.
GUGUAAAUAGCUCAAAGGUAGAGCAUUGCUUUUCUAAAGCAACGGUUAUAAGUUCAAGUCUUUUUUUACAUU